UAGGCAAAAAAAUUUUUUGGGUAUCAGGAGAACAGAAAAAUCGAGGAGGUAUUCCUAGACCUCGGGUGCCUCAUCAUGUGCAUGCAUUCAAUCCUGUAUAUUUAGUUCUAGUACGAUAGAGAAUGCAACUGAUGCCUUGCAAGACUAACUAUAUGCCUGCGUGUGCGUGCAAUCAUUCAUUCAUCGUUCGAUACAAACCGGAACUGAUAAUGUCGAGCUCUAUUAUACCGGCCCUGAAAAUUGGAAGUUUGCCCAAAAGUGGGAAUUUGUAUCAGGAGAACAGGAAACCCGAGGAGGUGUUCCGAGACCCCAUGUGCCUCAUCAUAUGCAUGCGUUCAAUCCUAUGAAUUGAAUCCUACUCCUUUGCCGUAUGAUCAAGUCGUUAUUUGCUCGUUUGCAAGCCUGAUCAUAUGCAUGCAUGUGAAUUCCAUUAUUCGAUCAUGCUUCGGUACAAACCUGUAUUGAUAUUAUGGUGCCCUAGAAAAUCAGAAAAUCGGUACUGAAAAUGCAAGGGCAAGUUUUAACCAAAAAUUCAUUUGGGUAUCAGGUGAACAUGACAAUCAAAAAGGUGUUCCAAGUCAAAGCCUGAUUUCAUGAUGGUUGCUUAUGAAUAAUCCUCAUAUAUGAUAUACUCAAGGGUAUAAUCAAUAAGAAUCAAGUAAUUAAUCUGAAAAUAAUCAGCUCGUUUAUUGAUCAAUCAUCAAGAUAGGAUACAUCCAACAAUUCUUUUAUCAGAAUGUUUAAUACUAUUUCAAAAACGAUCUACAUAUGUUUAUUUAAAAAUUACAAUAUCGCUCUAGUACUUUCAGCGAAUACAAUACAUUAGAAUGUAAUCACUUCUUCACGCGUUAACAAUUAUUUGCCGUGCAUGUAUGUCCAUUGAUUUUCGAAUCGAAAACUAGCGGACGUGAAUACACUUCUCGUUAGAGGUAAGGAGAUGCUCGUCAGUAGGUGUGACCUCAUUAUUUCGGCACUGGUCCCCUUCGGCGAGUUCGUGCGACUGCUGACAUCGCGAAUCGUCAGAUGUCCUUUGAGUACUGGAACAAUAAGAUAUCUCGAUGAGUAUUCGUUCGAGCUUGAUUCGCUGGAGCAAAAUAACGUCACGAAAUAUUCGUACAUACAAUUCACAGCAGAUCCAUUAUUUCACGACUUUCACACGUAAAAAGGCAGAACAACUGAAGACUACAGCUUCUAUCACAAAACGAAAUCUUUUUCUCGCAACGCUAACUAAUCAUGGUGGGAUGGGCGUUGCCGUUGGAGUUGCAGCAAAAAUAAUGUGUUAGAUUGGUGGUAAUUCCUUCUAUACUCGGAACAUAAAAUUCACCGAAGAAAUGCGUGCAAGCGGAAGUAGUUGAAGAGGUCAGCGUUCAACCUAAUUAUACCGAUUCUAAUUUUCGAUUCGAACAACGUAACUCGUGCAGAUUUUAGUGCACGAAAGGGUUUCUCGAGAAUUGCGUAUAACUGUUGCGUAACUACUGAUAUUGCAUUUCGCCGACGGAACUAAGUGGCAUUUGAGCGAUUAAUUUGUGAAGCUGAGUUGAGAAGAACAUCCACUUGGAGGGAUUAUCGCGUAAUAUUCCAGGUAAUGUACAGGUUCUGCGAGGAGAUCGAGCCACACGUGCAAAUGGGGUAGGGGGGGUAUUUCAAAGCUUCACAGUUAGUGACAAACGGGCUUUUCCUUUUACGCGAAACUUUAUGAACGAAGAAAUGUCGGCGGCACUUUCUGCUGAAGCUUUUAGCCUGUAAAAACCCAACUGAUACCGAAGAUGUCAAACUUCUUGCAAACACGAGAUCCCAUGUAAGAAAACUGACGAAGGAUGGUUAUACAUAUAUAUUAUAUACAACACCUACACUUUUGGAGAAAAAUAAAGUGAAAUACUCCAAGUAAUUUUCUCCAACUUUUAUAUCUCGUCGUAAACGAAAGACAACUUGCAAAAAGAAUUCUAUUUUUCCAACAUCUCGUUCGACACCGAUACCCCGAACUUCCGAAUCGCAGCUUAAUCUGCGCUGAACGCACAAUUUUUUCCAAGUUUUACGGGACGAAGAAAACAAUCACUGCGCAACUAUCAGAAAUUCUCGGCAAUAAUUCACGCCACCCAAUCAUUGAUUUACUAUUCAUAGAUAACAAAUUUAUCAUCGAAUGCUCACGCUGCAAUUCGUGUGACGUUACGUGCGGCGU
Molecule: long non-coding RNA, 2179 nt
Organism: Athalia rosae (coleseed sawfly)
Lineage: Eukaryota; Metazoa; Arthropoda; Insecta; Hymenoptera; Athaliidae
Exons: 3
Source: RefSeq, a predicted model, not a curated record